AACGAACGCUGGCGGCAUGCCUAACACAUGCAAGUCGAACGAGACCUUCGGGUCUAGUGGCGCACGGGUGCGUAACGCGUGGGAAUCUGCCCUGGGGUGCGGAAUAACUCGGAGAAAUCCGUGCUAAUACCGCAUAAUGUCUUCGGACCAAAGAUUUAUCGCCCUGGGAUGAGCCCGCGUAGGAUUAGCUAGUUGGUGGGUAAAGGCCUACCAAGGCGACGAUCCGUUAGCUGGUCUGAGAGGAUGAUCAACCACACUGGGACUGAGACACGGCCCAGACUCCUACGGGAGGCAGCAGUGGGGAAUAUUGGACAAUGGGCGAAAGCCUGAUCCAGCAAUGCCGCGUGAGUGAUGAAGGCCCUAGGGUUGUAAAGCUCUUUUACCCGGGAUGAUAAUGACAGUACCGGGAGAAUAAGCUCCGGCUAACUCCGUGCCAGCAGCCGCGGU
Molecule: ribosomal RNA, 447 nt
Filed under: uncultured bacterium
Lineage: Bacteria
Description: bacterial SSU rRNA
Rfam family: Bacterial small subunit ribosomal RNA
Source: RNAcentral